UAUCCAUGUCGUGCUUUGUCGUACCGUUGAUUUCUCCGUUUUCAGCGGCCAUCGUCAUUAGAUGUGGAGCUGUUGCUCCUACUUUAAUUAGCAUCUCAUAGAACAUUCGAGGAUGCUUAGAUCUGGAAGUGUUGCCUUGGCCCUGUUUAUUCUAGUUUAAUACCGGUUUCAUACCGACUAUGCUUUGGUUUCUGUUGCUUGUGAAAAUGAUCCUUCUCGAAGGUCUCAAAGGCUUCCUCUGGACUCCCCUUCAAUUCGUAUUUCUGUAUUGACGCGAUGUCUAGAUCUUCCGUCUGUGACAUAGUGAAUGAAUAAAGAAAGAGUCUGUUUCUUUCAGUAGUUUAAGGAUGCGUUUUGUAACUUCGGAAUUAGUUUGGACUCGGCCACUUGUGUAUUUCUAAGUUCUUAGUAUUCGAUCUUUGGCUUGUUUGGGGUUACCUUUCCUUCAAGCUUUAGGAUUUUAGUAGUUGAGACUCUUGCAGAUUUUAGGAUUGACUGGAUUGCACUCAUGGCUCCGCUGUGUCGCGAAGUGUAAAGGUUCCUAGGAUGGAGGUUAAGUGAGAGAUUCUAUUUGUCCUCUCUUAGUAUUUUAUUUUCUGCUUGAACUUUCUGAUAAAUCUCCUCUAUCUCUUAGAUCCUUCUUAGUUUGAUCCAUUUCUUUUGACCUUGCUAAGAUUGUUUCAAGGCUUAGUUUCAUAUUUUGGCAAAAAACAGAUGGAAUGCAGUGUUAUAGUGGGUUGAAACCGGAGAUAUUGAGUUAAUCUCUCUUGAACACCACCGGUUGUUGAAAUGUUUUCAAGCCUAUGGUAGAUUUUCAUGUGCCCCUUUCUCGUAAGAACAACAAGCUGAAACACUAUUGGUAUCUCAUGUAGUGUUUGAACUACUCUCUUAUGUGGUUUGAGAUUAUUAAGAAUUUCACAAUGCA
RNAcentral lists this small RNA (925 nucleotides) under Arabidopsis thaliana (thale cress). RNAcentral's name for it is "putative long intergenic non-coding RNA". Lineage: Eukaryota; Viridiplantae; Streptophyta; Magnoliopsida; Brassicales; Brassicaceae. The record is from RNAcentral.